This 2644-nucleotide long non-coding RNA is filed under the name Homo sapiens (human). Its description in RNAcentral is "non-protein coding lnc-ZBED5-1:5". The record is from RNAcentral. Lineage: Eukaryota; Metazoa; Chordata; Mammalia; Primates; Hominidae.
CUCAUUCUGCCAGCCCUGGCAGCCGGCCCACUGCUUGUGCUUCAGGGGCCCUCCUUUGGAGACGUGCUCAGAGCCCUAUUUUAGGAGGACAGAAGUGGCCUAAAACAUGUGGCCAUUAAGCUAGAAUUUUAAAGGACACACACACACACACACACACACACACACACACACGGACACAGCAAGCUAUCUGGUAAGCUGGUGGUUAAGAAUCCGAAUGUGUGCUCAAGGCCCCUCUGACACAGGCAGCCUUAUCCACAGAACUUCAUCCCUGUGUUUUGGCCUGUUCCAGGAAGAGCCAGCAAAGUUGCCUGCAAGAGAGAGCACGUGGCCUGAGGGGUGAACCAGGGACAGCCUCUGAAGAGCGAAGGAUUUAUCUGAGCAGCCAAAUGUCCACUGACAGACAGGUCUGUGUGUGCUAGAGAAACUUGUUCCACAGCUCAGAUGAAAAACGUAUUGUGGAAUUCACCCACAAGGGGAAGUGAGUUAAUGACUGGGGCGUUUCAUCUUCUGCCUAGAUGCGUCAUAAAAUCAACUUGUAAAGCCUGGCUCAGAAAAUACAUUUACUCUCCCAGAUGUGGUUCCAUAUAGGGCUAUGAAACAUUUCAAAGAGUGAUCGCUCACAGAGGAGUGCGUUCUUAGGCUUUCUCUGUGCUGGGAGUGGGGCCGGUGGCCUGAGCCUGACAGCCCAUCCAGGCUGUGGUCAAAUUUGCUGACAAGCAGCCCAAAUCUGCCCAGAGCAUCUGCUCACAUCUGGGAUUGUGACUCAUCUGCCUCUGUCUCCCCCAGCACUAUUCACUCACUCCUGCAGGCCUGAGCAUGUAAGCCCCACGGUGCCCAGGGCCCAGCGCCCAGACUUGUCCCUCCACCCAAGCACCCAUCACGGCUUGUCCUUAUCUCCAACACUGCCUGCCCCUCCCAUUUAGACUUGGUCUGCUUUCCCAGCUCCAGGUUCAGGGCAAACCAUGCUUAGACCUUCUUGGACUCAGCCUGAGCUAUCAUAAGAGGUUCCCAGGCUAAAACACAUGCACAGUCUCCUGCACAGUGGUGUCUGUUCUGGCCCUUUAAAUUUAGCAGAUCCACACUCCCACCACGCCCAGCUGGCCCACCAGAGUGAGCCACAGGCAACACAUGUUCUAAACCAACCCUGUUCACCCUGGACCUACUAUUUUUGCACUCACCUCCCUGGUUCUCAGAUUUCUGGCUCCGGUUCCCAGCUGCCAUAGCCCCUUUGGUCCCUUCACUUUGGUGACCCUUUAGGCUUCCCUUUUUAGACCACAGCUGUCACAUGUUUCUGACUCAACUUGCUUCUGCCAUGCCAGCGUCACCCCUGGUCUCAGGUGAGUACCCCAUGAUUCAGGCCCAGACCCUGAAGACCCCCUCCCCUGAGAUCACUCCCAGAAGAGGCGGAGGGUGAGGGAUUUGUUCCUGGGGUCCCUGCCUGGCUUCUCACCUUCAGCCUUGCGUUGUCUUUCAAUUCCAGCACCUGGACUUCCCUGGUCAUGCACCCGGGCAUUGGCCUCAACUUAGGUCCUGAUCCUCGGAGUCCCUCACUCACCUGGGACAGCUCUGUCCCGAACUCAGUUUCUGAUUUCAUGCUGGUCUUGCCCCAGUUACACCAACCCACCCCCCUCCCUAUCUCAUUGAGGUCAGAGUGGAGGAGGCUCUCAGGCUUCUGAAGGGAGGGAGGCAACACUGCCUCAAAUGGAGCCCUGAUGGGGCUCAGAGCCUGUGGGGAGUCUCACAGCUACCUGGGAAUCUUUCUGUCCCUGGAGACAGCACAAGUCAAGGCACUUGAGGACUCUCAGUUGUGUGUAGGGAGGAGGAUGCUGCUCCAAAUAGCGCAGACAAGCAUUCAGUUCUAAAACCUCAGAGCUCAGAGCAGCUGAAGAGCAGAGGCAGCCCUCUGGUCCCACAUGGCUCACAUUCUCUUCCUUGUCCGCCUGACUCCAUGUGUGACUUUAGCAACAUGUCUGUCGAGGAUGUUCUACCCCUAGCCCCUGCACCAGCAAACAAAUAAGUCCUCCCAAGGCUCCCCAUGCCUGAUGUCUCCAUUCCCUCCACUCCAGAAGGAGCAGAAACAAGGGCCUGCUCCCCUCCUCCUCCUCUCCAGCCCUCAUCACUCCCUUCCCUGGGGGCCAAGGCACUCAAAAACCAUCUUCCCCUAAAAGCUCAGGGACUCACUUGGUUUUCUUUCCCAGAAGCCCUAAAGAUAGUAGCUUUGCUUAAUGAGAAUGCCCCAUGGUGAAAUGGUGAGGACCAAGACUCUGGUGCCUGGUCCACAGGGGAAUUCCAGCUCUGCCUCUUGCUAGUGAUGAGACCCUAGACAUGUGAUGGAACUUCUCUAUAGUGUUUCCUCAUCUCUGAGGUUGGAAAACUAAUGGUCCCCACCCCACUGCAUUGCUGUGAGCCAUAUACGCAUUAAUUAGUGUAAAAAUGGUGCCUCCAUGUAAUAAGUGCCGUGAUGCACAAGCUCUCAUUUAUUGAUUUUUCACUGUAUGUGAGGCCUUACUCUAAAUACCUUACAUCCAAUAAUUCGUUUUUCCUAAGCAAAGUGAAAUAGAGACAGAAGGAUCAUUUUAUAAUUCUAAUUUAAAUUAUCAUUAAUAUUUAUUGCAUAAGUUCCAUCAACAGGAGUUGAAAUGCA